CCUACGGGAGGCAGCAGUGAGGAAUAUUGGACAAUGGGCGCAAGCCUGAUCCAGCCAUGCCGCGUGCAGGAAGAAGCAUCUAUGGUGUGUAAACUGCUUUUGUACAGGAAGAAACACUCCCUCGUGAGGGAGCUUGACGGUACUGUAAGAAUAAGGACCGGCUAACUCCGUGCCAGCAGCCGCGGUAAUACGGAGGGUCCGAGCGUUAUCCGGAAUCAUUGGGUUUAAAGGGUCCGUAGGCGGUUUAAUAAGUCAGUGGUGAAAUCUGGUCGCUCAACGAUCAAACGGCCAUUGAUACUGUUAGACUUGAAUUAUAAGGAAGUAACUAGAAUAUGUAGUGUAGCGGUGAAAUGCUUAGAUAUUACAUGGAAUACCAAUUGCGAAGGCAGGUUACUACUUAUGGAUUGACGCUGAUGGACGAAAGCGUGGGGAGCGAACAGGAUUAGAUACCCUGGUAGUCCACGCCGUAAACGAUGGAUACUAGCUGUUCGGAGCAAUCUGAGUUGGGNGUAGACGAAGUAGAGUAAGUAUACCACCGUACGGGUAGGUACGGUUCGUCGAAGAAGUAGAAACGUACGAAGUAGUAAGUUAGUACGGACGUAGAGACGUUAGCCGACGGACGACGACGAGGGAGGAGG
RNAcentral lists this ribosomal RNA (638 nucleotides) under uncultured bacterium. RNAcentral describes it as "bacterial SSU rRNA". The stretch from base 1 to 537 matches the Rfam family "Bacterial small subunit ribosomal RNA", at positions 338 to 873 of the family's 1533-position model. The record is from RNAcentral.